AAAACUCUUUUACUUCUCUCUCAUCCAUUUUGAGUUUUGAAAACAGCCAUCCCACACCUUUCUUCAUCAAUCAAUCAAAGGAACAAAUUUUUGUGAUCAUCAAUUGUUAUUCCUCAUCUCUCUUUUGGUAUAUUGGAGUCAAUCUCAAAUCUCUUGCUCCUAUCGAUUGGUAACUAACUGGUUCUUCAACAUCUAAUUCAUGAUUCUCCUCUCUGUAUGUAAUUCUAAUUCGUGAUUUUUCUACUUUAUGAAAAAAAAUUAUGUAAUAUAACAUCCAUAUCAGUAGAAGUUUAUUUUGACGUGUGGAUAAAUGGUAGGAAAAUAAAGGAGAGACGAGCUUGCCUGAGGAUAUAACUCAAGGCAGCAGAUUUAGUGUAAUACUAAUUUCAUGUUUUCAAUGCCAACGUACAAUUGGGUAGGAUGUUGGAUAUAGAUUUCUUCAGCACACUAUUUGAUUUUAUUAAUGUUUGGUAUAGAAUGAAUAUGGCUCGGGGUACACGUACAAGACAAUUGCUUGAUUGCUUCUUUGUCUCAUAGCAUGGAUAUAAUUGAAACAAUUUACACAAAAAAAUAAAAAAUCUAUUCAUUAGGCAGCUAGGCCAUGGCAAAAACUACAAGUGAAGCGUAUGCAUGUUUAAUGGUAUCUGAUACCUGUAGCUUUUGGGUACAUCUUCAUGACAUUGGCCUUCCCUACUUAGGCAAUCUAUCCUAGAUUUUACAUUAUGCAUUGGCAUUGCUUGCUAGAAUUGUACCCUAACUUCCUAGGUACAACCUGGAUGAAUUUGUAUUAUGGCAAAGUGAUUUAUGUCUGUUCCUUUGAGUGAGAAACAUUGGACACAUCAACACUUAAAAUUGUGCAAUAUGCAGAGACCAGAGUGACAUCCCUUAAUUAGGAUAGUUGCGUUACGCAUCCCUUAAAUAGGAUAGUUGUAUUAGGCUUCCCUUAAUUAGGAUAGUUGCAUUAGGCAUCUCUUAAUUAGUUUUCUAAAAUGGCGAUUGGCACAGACGACAGUCUUUAUAUAAUCAUCGUCAUAGCAUGUACAUCAACAUAUCAUGAUAUUUUUUGUUUUUUCUUACUUGAUGAAGGGCAGGGUGAUGAGAAAUAAUUAAUAAUUAACUACAGAUCCAAAAGUAGUAAUUUUUUUUAAUACCAUAACAUUAUUAAUAAAUGUCUAAUGAAAUUAGUUUCAAUUUGAAAACUUCAUAGUUCCGUAAUUUAUUAAUUUUGUUUAUAUAUUAAAGAUUAUAUUUCAAUUACGUCAUCCGGUAUAGCCUUUGUUCAUAUGAUGGUUCAUGGUUUUUUUUUUUUUUUUUUUUUGUAUGAAAUUAGAAAAAUACUCGGUUGCAGGCAGAAACCAAACCUGCAGGAAGAUGCACACACUAUAAAUUGAUAACUACAUUUUUUCGUUAACGAGGUAUAUAUCUUUAAUGGUCCUGAAUUGGUCCUGAAUGGAUCAUAAGUGAAAAUAGUGGUUGAUGAGUAGUAGUUGUAGAUGGUCAGCAUCAGACCCUCUUUCUAGCUGUUAAUACAUCAAUAAAAGUUGUGGAUAAGCUGUUAAUGGAAACAAAUAUCAAGAUUUUAGCAAACAUGCAUGUAUGCUCCCAGGCUCUUGAAUCGGGCAUAUGCCACACACAUGAAUCAACUGCUAUGGCUAUGAAGUAGAGUGGUAGACCUAAGGAGUAUUGAUAAUCUUCUCUCAAACCUAUGGUAAUCCACUAAUCUGCUUAUUUUGGGUUGGUGGUGGUUGGGGGAUCUCAUUCUUUUACAAUAAUUAUAGGUAUUAGUGUGGUGGUCGGUUUGGAUAGUGGUGUGGAGUAGAAGAGUUUGGCUUAUAUACUAUGGAAUUAGUUAUAGAUAAGAUCUUCGGUUAGUAUUUGUCCUGAUGUGUCACCACACUUUCUGUUGCAAUGGUUUUUUAAGUUCUAAAUUUUGCAUUUUUGAACUCUUCUCGCUCAUAGAAUAACCAAUGAAGAGACCAACACAACAACAAAGUAUGGAAAUUUUUCAAAGAGAAUUUUUACAGUAUUUUGGUUGACUUCACAUACAAUGAGAAUGUUUUCAAACCUAUUAAUGUGUUAAUCAGAUGCUGUUUUUUUUUUAUUUUUGCUCUUACUUAUCGCCCCUCUCCCUGAACUAAGUAUGAAGGUAAUAAACCUAUUUAUGUGAUCGUUUCAGGAUUUGGGUCCAACUCCACUGAAGAAAUUUGAUUUGGAGCCAAUACCUAAACUGGAAGAAUUUACUGGUGUCCUUCUUCCAUCCUUGGCUUCACUCUAUCAGCUACCCAUGUACCCGACUUGGUAAGUCAACUCUUCGUGAUGGGUAAUUGGAUGGAAAUCUUAUUUAUUCAAUGUGAUCAAUAACAACAUAACAAUACUCAAUUAAUACAAAUUCAACCAGUUUAAUUCAAAAUCAAGCUAAGAAUGAUGAUGAAAUUGAUAUAAACUUUAAAAACUAAAUUACGGUCUUUAUAGACUUAUGCGCUUUUGAGCUUACGAAGGAGCUUGUUCUUUUUGGUUAUUGCAUGGUUUAGACAAUAAUUUGAAUGGGAACUCACUCUCAUUAAAGAGCGCAUCACGACUUCCGUAAACUAUGCCAAUAGAGAUGUGUAAAUAUAUGUAAGCUUUAUGGGAAGAACUAUAUCCAAUAAACACAUGAUUUACUUCUGAAAUCUAGCUUAGUCUUUCUAUAUGUUUUAUCCAAGGAAAGCAAGUACAUUCAUACGAUUUUUGUCAAAUAAGAUGAUGGUUGAAAGUGUCCAGUAGUCCCACUGGUCAGGCACCAAGAUGUCCUUUGAGAUUGGAUAUCAGUGCACAAACAACACACUGAUAUGGUCUUCAACAGUGACAGAAAUAAUUGAAUUUAGUCUGGCACCAUCAAAAUUGAGUACCUCAAUUAUAAACCUCAGAUUAUUUUUGAUCCCCUCAUACUUAGACAUGGAUUAUGGACCAUAUCGUAGCAUGAGUGAUAAGAAACUAUUAAGUAUUAACUCAACCUCCAUACCAGUUUGUGGUACCUUGUUGUAGCUUGAAAGUGUUUUUAACCUUCAUUUAUUUUUCUGAUAAAAAAAGUAUGUUUUCACUCUGCCAACAUGAUUAUCCCAUCUUUGAGAAAUGAAUCUUAGAGCCUUGACCAUUGAGUUUCCUAGGCAAUUCAACUAUAAUAACCGAUGAAAGUAUGAUCUGUUUGACAGUCAUUAUCAAGUAAAAUAUUGCUUAAUCAUAAAUCAAAGAUUAAGUAUUGUUGUUACUUUUACAGGUAAGCUAUAUUUGUCAUUGGAUAUAGGUACUCACCAGACUAUUCUUUCAUGCAGGUAUUCUGAUAUAUAUUUUUCAUCAACUUCUGUCA
Molecule: long non-coding RNA, 3346 nt
Filed under: Aquilegia coerulea
Lineage: Eukaryota; Viridiplantae; Streptophyta; Magnoliopsida; Ranunculales; Ranunculaceae
Description: long non-coding RNA (ACOE_LNC002012)
Source: RNAcentral